Non-coding RNA from Cajanus cajan (pigeon pea), 320 nucleotides. The record is from RefSeq and is a predicted model, not a curated record. Lineage: Eukaryota; Viridiplantae; Streptophyta; Magnoliopsida; Fabales; Fabaceae.
UUCAGACUCUAAGCUGGAUAAAGUGACACUUCUCCAGAUGGAUUCUAAACUACCAAUUGACCUUUUGGAAAAUGUAAUGCAACUGGCAAUUGAAGGCUGCAAAGCAAUAGCAAACUACAUUAGAGAAAUUUUACUGGAGAACACAAAUCAACUCGAGUAUCGACGAGGUGUAUAGUUUUGUAGCAGAAGUAUUGUUUCUUAUUUGCUUCCAUUUAAUGCUUUCUAUUUGUUUCCUAUUUUACUGGAAACAUUUAUUUUGGUAUACGAUGCUGACUAAACGUAACCUGUAGUUUGUAGAAUUGGUUUCUCAUUUCUUCCAA